AGAGUCACUCCUACGGGAGGCAGCAGUGGGGAAUUUUGGACAAUGGGCGAAAGCCUGAUCCAGCAAUGCCGCGUGUGUGAAGAAGGCCUUCGGGUUGUAAAGCACUUUUGUCUGGAAAGAAAUCCUUGGUUCUAAUACAGCCGGGGGAUGACGGUACCGGAAGAAUAAGCACCGGCUAACUACGUGCCAGCAGCCGCGGUAAUACGUAGGGUGCGAGCGUUAAUCGGAAUUACUGGGCGUAAAGCGUGCGCAGGCGGUGAUGUAAGACCGAUGUGAAAUCCCCGGGCUUAACCUGGGAACUGCAUUGGUGACUGCAUUGCUCGAGUAUGGCAGAGGGGGGUGGAAUUCCACGUGUAGCAGUGAAAUGCGUAGAGAUGUGGAGGAACACCGAUGGCGAAGGCAGCCCCCUGGGCCAAUACUGACGCUCAUGCACGAAAGCGUGGGGAGCAAACAGGAUUAGAUACCCUGGUAGUCCACGCCCUAAACGAUGUCAACUGGUUGUUGGGGAUUCAUUUCCUUAGUAACGUAGCUAACGCGUGAAGUUGACCGCCUGGGGAGUACGGUCGCAAGAUUAAAACUUAAAGGAAUUGACG
RNAcentral lists this ribosomal RNA (593 nucleotides) under uncultured Burkholderia sp. Its description in RNAcentral is "bacterial SSU rRNA". It matches the Rfam family "Bacterial small subunit ribosomal RNA", at positions 329 to 915 of the family's 1533-position model. The record is from RNAcentral. Lineage: Bacteria; Pseudomonadati; Pseudomonadota; Betaproteobacteria; Burkholderiales; Burkholderiaceae.